This 984-nucleotide long non-coding RNA is filed under the name Gallus gallus (chicken). Its description in RNAcentral is "long non-coding RNA NONGGAT004616". The record is from RNAcentral. Lineage: Eukaryota; Metazoa; Chordata; Aves; Galliformes; Phasianidae.
GCUCCGCCAAUUGCAGCUCGGCGGGGAGUGAUGGGAGAUGACGGCGGCAUUACCUCAGUGGCGCUCCCCGGGCGGCCGUGCGCGGCGCUGUGGGGUCCGCACCUGUCCCGUCUUUUCUGACUUCUUUUUUUUUUUUUGGAUUCCUUCCUAAGCAGAUCCCACGCUGAUGAUAUUGAUGUACGUGGGGGAGGGAAUGGAGGAAUGACUGCCCUAAGCAAAAGGAAGCACGGAGAGCUAGAGCUUGGCCUUUGCCAUUAUCCUGCAAUAAAACACACUGCAGAAGCCCGGUAUAAAGUUCCAGGUCACAGAGCCAGCUCUCACAGAUGUUACACAGGUCUGACAAACUAGGACUGGUGCCUCUGGCCUGUUCAUAGCAAGACAACAGUGUUUUCAAUGGGCAUAGGUGUGAGCUAUCAGGUGAAGUUCCAUACCAGUGCAUCCCUCCUGCAUGUAAGCUCUGCUGACCAUUGCUUUCAGUCUGGUGUUUCACAAGCAGAAUGAUGUAGAAAGGUGAGACAGGAUUAUCAAUGUUUGUGCGUCCAACAGUCGGUUUGGUUCUCGUCUGCCUACAAAACAGCGCUGGUAUCUUCCUGGAAGUACAUAUUGAGUUCAUCCCACAGAUCUACCUACCAACACCAGGAGCUCUUCUUUCAUGUGGAAAAAUAUAACCCAGUAAUCAUUGCUCCUGUCCUGUUCCUCUUCACCUUGCAGGUUCAAAACUUGUGAGCGCUCUGAUGGAGGGCAAUCUUAGGAGUGAAAUUAUAUGUUAUAAUGCUUGAUUGAAGUAUAUCAGCUUUGAUAAACGUUUCGAGCACUGAUAGACCUGAUAAUCAAAUGCUUGCAAUGCUCCUGGUGAUGGUAUGUAUGUGAACUGCCACAUCACGUCAGGUGCCAGGGAUCAAAAGUCACAGACUUUGAAAUGCCACAAUUACUCGUGAUGAUGACUUAUUUUCAUCUUGCAGUCCUUGUAUAGCAAACAUAAGC